Molecule: ribosomal RNA, 253 nt
Filed under: uncultured bacterium
Lineage: Bacteria
Description: partial 16S ribosomal RNA
Rfam family: Bacterial small subunit ribosomal RNA
Source: RNAcentral
UACGUAGGGCUCAAGCGUUAUCCGGAAUUAUUGGGCGUAAAGCGCGCGCAGGCGGUUUCUUAAGUCUGAUGUGAAAGCCCACGGCUCAACCGUGGAGGGUCAUUGGAAACUGGGGAACUUGAGUGCAGAAGAGAAAAGCGGAAUUCCACGUGUAGCGGUGAAAUGCGUAGAGAUGUGGAGGAACACCAGUGGCGAAGGCGGCUUUUUGGUCUGUAACUGACGCUGAGGCGCGAAAGCGUGGGGAGCAAACAGG